Molecule: ribosomal RNA, 512 nt
Filed under: Megaselia bifida
Lineage: Eukaryota; Metazoa; Arthropoda; Insecta; Diptera; Phoridae
Description: partial 16S ribosomal RNA
Rfam family: Bacterial large subunit ribosomal RNA (bases 385-512)
Source: RNAcentral
UUUUAGAAAUUAAUUUAAAGUCUAACCUGCCCACUGAAUAAUUUUAAAUGGCCGCAGUAUCCUAACUGUGCAAAGGUAGCAUAAUCAUUAGUCUUUUAAUUGAAGGCUGGAAUGAAUGGUUGGAUGAAAUAUUAACUGUUUCAUAUAAAUUUAUAAUAGAAUUUUAUUUUUUAGUCAAAAAGCUAAAAUUUAAUUAAAAGACGAGAAGACCCUAUAAAUCUUUAUAUUUUUUUAAUUUUAAUUAUUUAGAUAAAUUAAAUUAUAAUUAACAAAAAUAUUUUAUUGGGGUGAUAUUAAAAUUUAAUAAACUUUUAAUUUAUAAUAUACAUAAAUUAAUGAAUUAUUGAUCCAUUUAUUAUGAUUAAAAAAUUAAGUUACUUUAGGGAUAACAGCGUAAUUUUUUUAGAGAGUUCAUAUUGAUAAAAAAGAUUGCGACCUCGAUGUUGGAUUAAGAUAUAAUUUUAGGUGCAGUAGCUUAAAUUUAAAGUCUGUUCGACUUUUAAAUUCUUACA